RNAcentral lists this ribosomal RNA (252 nucleotides) under uncultured Bacteroidales bacterium. RNAcentral's name for it is "partial 16S ribosomal RNA". It matches the Rfam family "Bacterial small subunit ribosomal RNA", at positions 524 to 776 of the family's 1533-position model. Lineage: Bacteria; Pseudomonadati; Bacteroidota; Bacteroidia; Bacteroidales. The record is from RNAcentral.
UACGGAGGAUGCGAGCGUUAUCCGGAUUUAUUGGGUUUAAAGGGUGCGUAGGCGGACGCUUAAGUCAGCGGUAAAAUUGCGGGGCUCAACCUCGUCGAGCCGUUGAAACUGGGUGCCUUGAGUGGGCGAGAAGUACGCGGAAUGCGUGGUGUAGCGGUGAAAUGCGUAGAUAUACGGAGGAACACCAGUGGCGAAGGCGGCCUGCUGGACAAUAACUGACGCUGAGGCGCGAAAGCGUGGGGAGCAAACAGG